Molecule: ribosomal RNA, 695 nt
Filed under: Amanita eijii
Lineage: Eukaryota; Fungi; Basidiomycota; Agaricomycetes; Agaricales; Amanitaceae
Description: eukaryotic LSU rRNA
Rfam family: Eukaryotic large subunit ribosomal RNA
Source: RNAcentral
UUAGUAACUGCGAGUGAAGCGGGAAUAGCUCAAAUUUAAAAUCUGGCAGUCUUUGGCUGUCCGAAUUGUAGCCUAGAGAAGUGUUGCCCGUGCUGGACCAUGUAUAAGUCUCCUGGAACGGAGUGUCACAGAGGGUGAGAAUCCCGUGUUUGACAUGGACUGCCAGUGCAUUUGUGGUAUGCUCUCAAAGAGUUGAGUUGUUUGGGAAUGCAGCUCUAAAUGGGUGGUAAAUUCCAUCUAAAGCUAAAUAUUGGCGAGAGACCGAUAGCGAACAAGUACCGUGAGGGAAAGAUGAAAAGAACUUUGGAAAGAGAGUUAAACAGUAUGUGAAAUUGUUGAAAGGGAAACGUUUGAAGUCAGUCACGUUGGUCAGGGAUCAACUCAGCUAACUUGCUGGGUGCACUUCUUGGCACAAUGGGUCAACAUCAGUCUUGACUGCUAGAGAAAGGCGGAGGGAAUGUGGCACCUUUUUGGGUGUGUUAUAGUCCUCAGUCAUAUGCAGCAGUUGGGACUGAGGAAAAGCAACACGCCGCAAGGCCGGGUCGUUUUGACCACGUUCGUGCUUAGGAUGUUGGCAAAUAAUGGCUUUAAGCGACCCGUCUUGAAACACGGACCAAGGAGUCUAACAUGCCUGCGAGUGUUUGGGUGGAAAACCCGAGCGCGCAAUGAAAGUGAAAGUUGAGAUCCCUCUUAUG